GACGAACGCUGGCGGCGUGCUUAACACAUGCAAGUCGAACGGAAAGGCCCUGCUUGCAGGGUGCUCGAGUGGCGAACGGGCGAGUAACACGUGGGUGAUCUGCCCCUUACUUUGGGAUAAGCCUGGGCAACUGGGUCUAAUACUGGAUAGGACCAUGCUGUAGGUGGUGUGGUGGAAAGAUUAGUUUCGGUAAGGGAUGAGCUCGCGGCCUAUCAGCUUGUUGGUGGGGUAAUGGCCUACUAAGGCGUCGACGGGUAGCCGGCCUGAGAGGGUGGACGGCCACAUUGAGACUGAGAUACGGCCCAGACUCCUACGGGAGGCAGCAGUGGGGAAUAUUGCACAAUGGGCGCAAGCCUGAUGCAGCGACGCCGCGUGGGGGAUGACGGCCUUCGGGUUGUAAACUCCUUUCAGCCAUGACGAAGCCCUUGUGGUGACGGUAGUGGUAGAAGAAGCACCGGCUAACUACGUG
RNAcentral lists this ribosomal RNA (469 nucleotides) under uncultured bacterium. RNAcentral describes it as "partial 16S ribosomal RNA". It matches the Rfam family "Bacterial small subunit ribosomal RNA", at positions 28 to 507 of the family's 1533-position model. The record is from RNAcentral.